CUCAGUCGGCCAACAUCUCGUUGGACAAGCCAGCUUUAUCGGUCGAACAUACAAGUUCCAUCUCGUUCGUCAGACAUUCGUGUUAAGUUCUCGUUACGAAGAGUCUCGUAAAGCCUCCUGUUCAUAAUUACGUAUGUGAAUUUCCUUCUCGACAAUUAAUUUUGCGAAGACAGAACAAUAGUUUUAAUUGACGGAUCUAGGUGGCCAAAAUUAAUUUGUUUUUCAGUCAAACAAACGGUUCUUAAUAUUUUACAUCACCAAAGUCGCUAUUACGAAGAUAUUGUAAGAAUACAGAAUUCAACAACUGAAUAUAAUAUCAAUAAUAAUCAGACGAUCUUAUGGCGCAUUGAACCGUUUAAAAUGUAGAAAAGAAGAACAGUUUAUUAUUUCAUACCAAUAUGCAUGAAAAACGAAGAAUGACAUGUAUCUGCGGAAAAUCAAUUUUAAAGCAACAAAGGACGAAAGGAAUGAAUAUGUGGCUUAGAAGUAUUCAAAUAUAGUAGAAGAUUCAACGUGGAAUGUUCAGCACAAAGACGCAAAAGCCUUUGAUCGAAAAUCAACAUACCAUUGUCAAAGAAAGAAACAUCGUUUGCUAUUCUCGAUGUAUCUAUUUUCUUCAACAUCUAUAUAUCCCUUUAAUGCAUCACUAUCAAACAAAUCUUAUUCAUGAAUAUGUCUCGUACUUCCAUCUGCAAUACACUGAAAUCCAGAUACAAUGACUCACAAAAGUAUCUGAACACUUACCAUGAAAUACUUUAUUAAUUAUAAUAAGUAUAUUAUACAACUCUGUCCGAAAUAUUAUAAACAUUGUAAGGAGAUAUGACUCUUUAGAUU
Nomia melanderi (Alkali bee) is the source of this 834-nucleotide long non-coding RNA. RefSeq lists it as uncharacterized. NCBI's taxonomy places the organism in Eukaryota, Metazoa, Arthropoda, Insecta, Hymenoptera, Halictidae. The record is from RefSeq and is a predicted model, not a curated record.